CCUAAACCUGACCUCCACCUGAGUUAUGGAUUCCAAGCACUACCUCUCAGGACCAGUUCAUAUAGAAGAUCUUCUGGGUUUCCUGGACACAUGGUCUUUGUUUAAGACAAGAAGAACCUGUCAUCCAACUCUGGAAGAAGAGGCAAGCAACCCCAAACCCAGUAACGUUUAGUUGGCGAGCCACUUUUUAGAAGCAAGCUACCGGAUAAGGUCCACAGUUGUCCCAGGCCAGAUAAUUCCUGAGGCUUUACUAACUGCUGAGCUAUUAACUGGUGUUUAAGUCAAAGGGAGGCCUCACCAGAGACCAAAAUGUUGGGGCCACCUUAUCAUCUUAGACUUCACGCCUCCAAAAUGGUCUCAACACAGCACCGAAGCAGUGAUUUGGCAGACUGACAAGGUGACCAGUCAUUCAACAAACUGUUGACAAGUAUCAACUCAUUGCUGUGGUGGAUAUAAUCACCCUCCAGGAUCGAGGGACUAGGCCACAGAUGAGUGCUUUUGUGGAGAAGGGAGCUUUCUAAAUGAAGAUAGCAAGUGUGAAGCAGAGUGAUUUUGACAUCUGCUAAAUGACUAAGUACACUGAUUCUACCAUCUCAUUCUGUGCUCUGCUUCUACCCUGUAGAAUCCCUCUUAACUAAUCCUUGAUCAAACAGUGAACCCAUUGCUGAAAUAAAUUAUGGAGAAGCA
Chinchilla lanigera (long-tailed chinchilla) is the source of this 687-nucleotide long non-coding RNA. RefSeq lists it as uncharacterized. The transcript is spliced from 6 exons. NCBI's taxonomy places the organism in Eukaryota, Metazoa, Chordata, Mammalia, Rodentia, Chinchillidae. The record is from RefSeq and is a predicted model, not a curated record.